CAGACUAAAGCUUGUAGAGUUUUUUAUUUACACUAAAAGGAAUAUUGUUAUCAAUAUAGUUUGA
Molecule: transfer RNA, 64 nt
Filed under: Scolytus schevyrewi
Lineage: Eukaryota; Metazoa; Arthropoda; Insecta; Coleoptera; Curculionidae
Description: tRNA-Val
Source: RNAcentral